UUCGAGGAAGGCAAGCGUUAUCCGGAAUCAUUGGGCGUAAAGCGUGCGCAAGCGGUUUUGUAAGUGAGGUGUAAAAUUCCAACGCUCAACGUUGGACUCGCGCUUCAUACUGCAAGACUUGAGAAUAGUAGAGGCAAAUGGAAUUCCCGGUGUAGUAGUGAAAUGCGUUAAUAUCGGGAGGAACGCCUAAAGCGAAAGCAAUUUGCUGGGCUAUUUCUGACGCCGUUGCACGACAGCGUGGGGAGCAAACAGG
This 253-nucleotide ribosomal RNA is filed under the name uncultured bacterium. Its description in RNAcentral is "partial 16S ribosomal RNA". It matches the Rfam family "Bacterial small subunit ribosomal RNA", at positions 524 to 776 of the family's 1533-position model. The record is from RNAcentral.